GACCGUCGUGAGACAGGU
This 18-nucleotide non-coding RNA is filed under the name Arabidopsis thaliana (thale cress). Lineage: Eukaryota; Viridiplantae; Streptophyta; Magnoliopsida; Brassicales; Brassicaceae. The record is from RNAcentral. RNAcentral also lists the same sequence under 2 other names.